Molecule: non-coding RNA, 858 nt
Organism: Pelobates cultripes (western spadefoot toad)
Lineage: Eukaryota; Metazoa; Chordata; Amphibia; Anura; Pelobatidae
Source: the annotation of a GenBank genome assembly
GCUCCCUACCUACCCCCCUCACCCUAAAAAUAAUGAGGGGGGGACCUUUAACUAAAAACCUGUUAAAAAAAAAUUAGAUAAAAAUAACUUACCAUAUGAUGUUUUCUUUCUUCUACAAUCUUCUUUUUUCAGCCCCAAAAAAGGCCAAAUAAAAACCCAUAAGAACCGACGCAAUUAAAAAAAAAACAAAAAAAAAAACGAGCGCACAAAAAAAUAAUCCAUCUUCACCCAUGGAGGGCUCCGCGCAGACUGAGCUCUGCAGGGCGGGGGAAGGCUUAUAAAGCCUUGCCACACCCUGCAAUUAGGCUAAAAACACUCUGAUUGGCGGUAUUGCGAGUAGGGGCACAAUUUACUAAUACUAAGUAAUUUUUACUUAGUAUUAGUAAAUUAAUAGGGGGCUGAUCGAACCGCGCAUAUGUUCGCCGUCCGUGGCGAACGCGAACACGCUAUGUUCGCCAGGAACUAUUCGCUGGCGAACCGUUCGGGACAUCACUAGAUACCAAUAUUUUUAUUUCUUAUUUUCUUGACUAGCAAUAGUUCUCUGGGUAGUGAUUUCGCCCUGUUCUUAUAAUCAAUCAGAACCUCAGUCUCGUAUCCCCUAGUGGAAAAAGCUCUUAUCAGAUUCUCAGCACGUCUGUCAUAGUCAUUGUCUUCAGACACAGUGCGUCUUGUCCUGACAAAUUGUCCAUAUGGUAAAUGUUUGAUGAAGUGUGGUGGGUGGAAGGAACUAGCAUGUAAAUAGGAAGCCCGAUCUGUCGGUUUUUGGUAAAGAUCAAACACUAUACACCCAUCACUCUCCUCCAGUGAGACAUCCAAAAAAUGCAUCCUAUGGGCAUCAUAUUCUACAGUGAAUGAUAU